UCGAUAGCUCAGUUGGUAGAGCAGGGGACUGAAAAUCCCCGUGUCACUGGUUCGAUUCCCGUUCGAGC
RNAcentral lists this transfer RNA (68 nucleotides) under human gut metagenome. It matches the Rfam family "tRNA". From Rfam's summary of the family: Transfer RNA (tRNA) molecules are approximately 80 nucleotides in length. The record is from RNAcentral.